GCAGAUUGCUGGGAAAAUGCUGCUUCAACAUUCUUUGCACCAAAACGACAUCUUGUUUCAUCUUGGCAAAAUAAUAAAUGAUGUGACAUGACAUGCCCACAUCAGGCAUUGUCUUUCAUAGAGACAAUGGGAUGGAUGCAUGCAUUAUUACAUCCCUACUGGAGCAUAGAGGAGCGCCCACACUACCUCGAUUUCACGUACGUCAGCAGGAGGUGGAGCAACCUCCUCAACUACAAACUGCCCAUCUUCAUCAUCUUCCUCUUCAGAGAGCUUCUUACCAUCCAUAAUGACUGCUGCGGG
Xyrauchen texanus (razorback sucker) is the source of this 300-nucleotide long non-coding RNA. RefSeq lists it as uncharacterized. Lineage: Eukaryota; Metazoa; Chordata; Actinopteri; Cypriniformes; Catostomidae. The record is from RefSeq and is a predicted model, not a curated record. The transcript has 3 exons.